RNAcentral lists this unclassified non-coding RNA (338 nucleotides) under uncultured fungus. RNAcentral's name for it is "partial contains small subunit ribosomal RNA, internal transcribed spacer 1, and 5.8S ribosomal RNA". The stretch from base 1 to 132 matches the Rfam family "Eukaryotic small subunit ribosomal RNA", at positions 1759 to 1831 of the family's 1831-position model. Lineage: Eukaryota; Fungi. The record is from RNAcentral.
UCAAACUUGGUCAUUUAGAGGAAGUAAAAGUCGUAACAAGGUUUCCGUAGGUAAGUUAAAAAGUUUCGGACAUCUCCUUUAUACUUGAAUAAUAUGCUGACUAUUUUAGGUGAACCUGCGGAAGGAUCAUUACUGAGUGCGCCCCUCGUAAAAAAGGGGGUACCUCCCGUCCUUUGCUGGCCCUUUAAAGGGCUUUUUAAAUUUUGCUUCGGCGGGGUUACCCGCCGGAACACUCUCAAAACUCUUUGACAAAAUUGUUCCGUCCGAGAACUUUUAUAAAUUAGCGAAAAACUUUCAACAACGGAUCUCUUGGUUCUGGCAUCGAUGAAGAACGCAGC